AGUCUGAACGCUGGCGGCGUGGCUAAGACAUGCAAGUCGAACGGUGUAGCAAUACACAGUGGCGGACGGGUGAGUAAUGAAUCGCUAAUGUACCCCGAUGUCUGGGAUAGCCAUCCGAAAGGAUGGGUAAUACCAGAUGAGACCACAGAACCGCAUGGUUCGGUGCUCAAAGGGUCACCGCAUUGGGCGCAGGCGAUUUCGAUCAGCUAGUUGGUGAGGUAACGGCUCACCAAGGCGACGACGCGUAGCCGGGCUGAGAGGUCGGCCGGCCACAUUGGGACUGAGACACUGCCCAGACUCCUACGGGGGGCUGCAGUAACGAAUCUUCGCAAUGCACGCAAGUGUAGACGGAGCGACGCCGCGUGUAGGAUGAAAGUCCUGGAUGUAAACUACUGUCAGGAAAGAAAGUACUGAUCUAACCCUACGAGAAGAGGACGGCUAACU
Molecule: ribosomal RNA, 444 nt
Filed under: uncultured soil bacterium
Lineage: Bacteria
Description: bacterial SSU rRNA
Rfam family: Bacterial small subunit ribosomal RNA
Source: RNAcentral